Molecule: ribosomal RNA, 330 nt
Filed under: uncultured eukaryote
Lineage: Eukaryota
Description: partial 18S ribosomal RNA
Rfam family: Eukaryotic small subunit ribosomal RNA
Source: RNAcentral
CCCUUAGAUGUUCUGGGCCGCACGCGCGCUACACUGAUGCAUUCAACGAGUCUAAAACCUGGUCUGAUAGGGCAGGGUAAUCUUUUGAAAGUGCAUCGUGAUUGGGAUAGAUGAUUGCAAUUCUUCAUCUUCAACGAGGAAUGCCUAGUAAACGCAAGUCAUCAGCUUGCAUUGAUUACGUCCCUGCCCUUUGUACACACCGCCCGUCGCUCCUACCGAUUGAAUGAUCCGAUGAAUACCAUGGAUUGAGAGUACGAAUGGGUUCGCUCAUUUCUGCUGCUCGAGAAGUGGAGUAAAUCUUAUCAUUUAGAGGAAGGAGAAGUCGUAACA